RNAcentral lists this ribosomal RNA (502 nucleotides) under uncultured bacterium. RNAcentral describes it as "bacterial SSU rRNA". It matches the Rfam family "Bacterial small subunit ribosomal RNA", at positions 33 to 507 of the family's 1533-position model. The record is from RNAcentral.
AACGACGCUGGCGGCGUGCCUAACACAUGACAAGUCGAGCGAGAAGUCCCGUCGGGGGCGAGUAAAGCGGCGGACGGGUGAGUAAUACAUGGAUAAUCUUCCCUCGAGCCUGGGAUAACCCUGCGAAAGUGGGGCUAAUACCGGAUAAGACCACAUGACACAUGUCACGGGGUAGAAGGUGGCUUGUAUUUAUAUGAGCUAUCACUUGAGGAUGAGUCCAUGGCCUAUCAGCUAGUUGGUGAGGUAAGAGCUUACCAAGGCUAUGACGGGUAGCUGGUCUGAGAGGACGACUAGCCACACUGGGACUGAGACACGGCCCAGACUCCUACGGGAGGCAGCAGUGGGGAAUAUUGGGCAAUGGGCGAAAGCCUGACCCAGCGACGCCGCGUGGGUGAUGAAGGCCUUCGGGUUGUAAAACCCUUUCGUGCGGAAAGAAUAGUCCUGUAGCGAAUAACUACGGGAUUUGACGGUACCGCAGGAAGAAGCACCGGCUAACUCCGUG